UACGUAGGGACCAAGCGUUGUUCGGAUUUACUGGGCGUAAAGGGCGCGUAGGCGGCUUUGUAAGUCACUUGUGAAAUCUCCGGGCUUAACUCGGAACGGCCAAGUGAUACUGCAAUGCUAGAGUGCGGAAGGGGCAAUCGGAAUUCUUGGUGUAGCGGUGAAAUGCGUAGAUAUCAAGAGGAACACCUGAGGUGAAGACGGGUUGCUGGGCCGACACUGACGCUGAUGCGCGAAAGCCAGGGGAGCAAACGGG
Molecule: ribosomal RNA, 253 nt
Filed under: uncultured bacterium
Lineage: Bacteria
Description: partial 16S ribosomal RNA
Rfam family: Bacterial small subunit ribosomal RNA
Source: RNAcentral